UCGGGAAUAUUGCGCAAUGGAGGAAACUCUGACGCAGUGACGCCGCGUGCAGGAAGAAGGUUUUCGGAUUGUAAACUGCCUUAGACAGGGAAGAAAAAGGACAGUACCUGUAGAAUAAGCUCCGGCUAACUACGUGCCAGCAGCCGCGGUAAUACGUAGGGAGCAAGCGUUAUCCGGAUUUAUUGGGUGUAAAGGGUGCGUAGACGGGAAGUCAAGUUAGUUGUGAAAUCCCUCGGCUCAACUGAGGAACUGCAACUAAAACUAACUUUCUUGAGUGCUGGAGAGGAAAGUGGAAUUCCUAGUGUAGCGGUGAAAUGCGUAGAUAUUAGGAGGAACACCAGUGGCGAAGGCGACUUUCUGGACAGUAACUGACGUUGAGGCACGAAAGUGUGGGGAGCAAACAGGAUUAGAUACCC
Molecule: ribosomal RNA, 416 nt
Filed under: uncultured bacterium
Lineage: Bacteria
Description: bacterial SSU rRNA
Rfam family: Bacterial small subunit ribosomal RNA
Source: RNAcentral